GAGGGUAUAGCUCAAGGGUAGAGUGCCUGCUUAGCAUGCACGAGGUCCUGGGUUCAAUUCCCAGUACCUCCA
Molecule: transfer RNA, 72 nt
Filed under: Camelus bactrianus (Bactrian camel)
Lineage: Eukaryota; Metazoa; Chordata; Mammalia; Artiodactyla; Camelidae
Also listed under: 3 other names
Rfam family: tRNA
About the family: Transfer RNA (tRNA) molecules are approximately 80 nucleotides in length. Their secondary structure includes four short double-helical elements and three loops (D, anti-codon, and T loops). Further hydrogen bonds mediate the characteristic L-shaped molecular structure. tRNAs have two regions of fundamental functional importance: the anti-codon, which is responsible for specific mRNA codon recognition, and the 3' end, to which the tRNAs corresponding amino acid is attached (by aminoacyl-tRNA synthetases). tRNAs cope with the degeneracy of the genetic code in two manners: having more than one tRNA (with a specific anti-codon) for a particular amino acid; and 'wobble' base-pairing, i.e. permitting non-standard base-pairing at the 3rd anti-codon position.
Source: Rfam by way of RNAcentral